RNAcentral lists this ribosomal RNA (307 nucleotides) under uncultured eukaryote. Its description in RNAcentral is "partial large subunit ribosomal RNA". It matches the Rfam family "Eukaryotic large subunit ribosomal RNA", at positions 40 to 350 of the family's 3401-position model. The record is from RNAcentral.
AUAUCAAUAAGCGGAGGAAAAGAAACCAACAGGGAUUGCCUCAGUAACGGCGAGUGAAGCGGCAACAGCUCAAAUUUGAAAUCGGGUUUCAGCCCGAGUUGUAAUUUGCAGAGGAUGCAUAGGCUGAAGGCGACGCUCCAAGUCCCUUGGAACAGGGCGUCAUAGAGGGUGAGAACCCCGUUGGGGCGACCGCCACAGCCGUGUUAUGCGCCUUCAACGAGUCGAGUUGUUUGGGAAUGCAGCUCAAAAUGGGUGGUAAAUUUCAUCUAAAGCUAAAUACUGGCCAGAGACCGAUAGCGCACAAGUA